GACGAACGCUGGCGGCGUGCCUAAUACAUGCAAGUAGAACGCUGAAGGAAGGAGCUUGCUCUUUCCGGAUGAGUUGCGAACGGGUGAGUAACGCGUAGGUAACCUGCCUGGUAGCGGGGGAUAACUAUUGGAAACGAUAGCUAAUACCGCAUAACAGUAGAUAUCGCAUGAUAGCUGCUUGAAAGGUGCAAUUGCACCACUACCAGAUGGACCUGCGUUGUAUUAGCUAGUUGGUGAGGUAACGGCUCACCAAGGCAACGAUACAUAGCCGACCUGAGAGGGUGAUCGGCCACACUGGGACUGAGACACGGCCCAGACUCCUACGGGAGGCAGCAGUAGGGAAUCUUCGGCAAUGGACGGAAGUCUGACCGAGCAACGCCGCGUGAGUGAAGAAGGUUUUCGGAUCGUAAAGCUCUGUUGUAAGAGAAGAACGAGUGUGAGAGUGGAAAGUUCACAC
RNAcentral lists this ribosomal RNA (457 nucleotides) under Streptococcus infantis. Its description in RNAcentral is "bacterial SSU rRNA". It matches the Rfam family "Bacterial small subunit ribosomal RNA", at positions 28 to 469 of the family's 1533-position model. The record is from RNAcentral. Lineage: Bacteria; Bacillati; Bacillota; Bacilli; Lactobacillales; Streptococcaceae.